UAUUGAAAAAAAAAAAAAAAAGUUUAUUCACGAAGACGCUCUCCGUCGAAUUUAGAAAUGGAUGUAUCAGAGUCUGGGGCUAAAAACCCAAGUGGCAUGAGAAACUUUAGAAACCAACAAUUUUCUACUCCUAAGUUCUGCAACAAUUUUCGACGUUCAUUGAUGCUUUGUAUCUACUUGAAGUGUAUUUGGUAAUUGGUGCUAUUUUAUUUGGUGACACCACCUCAUUGUCAUCUAAGAAACUCUCCUUCACAAGCAGUGUGGGUGGAGCUGUGGAGACCGUAGACUAGACUCAUAAGCCCAAAAGCAAUGUAUAGAUUAAAUUUGGAGAUUUUACUACUACAAGAGGUCUCAAUAAAAAGAGGACAUCAUUGUCAUAUAGUCUCUGUGCGACACCAUUGGCUUGCCCAGGGAGUCAGGGACAUAGAAAAAAGAAAAAUACGAAUGGGAUCAAGAAGACAAGAAGCACCUGGAUAUCUUCUAGCGGAUUGACAUCCAAGUAUAGAAGACCAUUGUUGAAUAGCUUGAAGACAGUUGGUUUCAAGAGUACUAGGAAUAGGAAUACAAGGCUGCUCAAACAUGUAGUUUAUCUACUUUGAA
Molecule: long non-coding RNA, 600 nt
Organism: Rosa rugosa (rugosa rose)
Lineage: Eukaryota; Viridiplantae; Streptophyta; Magnoliopsida; Rosales; Rosaceae
Exons: 4
Source: RefSeq, a predicted model, not a curated record